UACGUAGGGUGCGAGCGUUGUCCGGAAUUACUGGGCGUAAAGAGCUCGUAGGUGGUUUGUCGCGUUGUUCGUGAAAACUCACAGCUCAACUGUGGGCGUGCGGGCGAUACGGGCAGACUGGAGUACUGCAGGGGGAGACUGGAAUUCCUGGUGUAGCGGUGGAAUGCGCAGAUAUCAGGAGGAACACCGGUGGCGAAGGCGGGUCUCUGGGCAGUAACUGACGCUGAGGAGCGAAAGCAUGGGGAGCGAACAGG
Molecule: ribosomal RNA, 254 nt
Filed under: uncultured bacterium
Lineage: Bacteria
Description: partial 16S ribosomal RNA
Rfam family: Bacterial small subunit ribosomal RNA
Source: RNAcentral